CCAACACCAUAUUUCUGCAAGGAGAUGGCUUAGAAACAGCAAACGCUCCGAGAUGAAGGUCCAGAUCGUGUGGUGUGUGGCUGUUUCUCUCUUGGCUGCAGGGCUUGCAGGCAAAGAGAUCCGCCAGGUGCCAAGCUUGAUGGUGAAGGAGGGCGGAAUAGCCCAGCUGGAAUGCAGUCAAACUUACGGACACGAUAACAUGUAUUGGUACAAGCAACAGCCCCAGGGGUUGGGCCUUCAGCUUCUCUAUUACUCCAUUGAACAUGCUCCGGAGACCAAUGAAAUCAAGUCGGACAGAUUGACAGCUCGUCGGCUGGAGAAUAAAGUAUUUUGCUUGAACAUCUCCUCGGCCGAAGCAAGUGAUACAGCCAUGUAUUUCUGUGCUAGCAGCAGAUACACAGUAGUCAGGAGCUCUUCCUGCAGUGUGCAAUAA
Lacerta agilis (Sand lizard) is the source of this 433-nucleotide non-coding RNA. The record is from the annotation of a RefSeq genome assembly. NCBI's taxonomy places the organism in Eukaryota, Metazoa, Chordata, Lepidosauria, Squamata, Lacertidae.